UACGGGGGGAGCAAGCGUUGUUCGGAUUUACUGGGCGUAAAGGGCGCGUAGGCGGUCGUGACAAGUCACUUGUGAAAUCUCCGGGCUUAACUCGGAACGGUCAAGUGAUACUGUCGGACUAGAGUACAGAAGGGGCAACUGGAAUUCUCGGUGUAGCGGUGAAAUGCGUAGAUAUCGAGAGGAACACCUGCGGCGAAGGCGGCUACCUGGACCGGUUCUGACGCUGAGGCGCGAAAGCGUGGGUAGCAAACAGG
RNAcentral lists this ribosomal RNA (254 nucleotides) under uncultured bacterium. Its description in RNAcentral is "partial 16S ribosomal RNA". It matches the Rfam family "Bacterial small subunit ribosomal RNA", at positions 524 to 776 of the family's 1533-position model. The record is from RNAcentral.